GGACCCGCACAAGUAGUGGAGCAUGUGGUUUAAUUCGAAGAUACGCGCAGAACCUUACCAACACUUGACAUGUUCGUCGCGACUUUAAGAGAUUAAAGUUUUCGGUUCGGCCGGACGAAACACAGGUGCUGCAUGGCUGUCGUCAGCUCGUGUCGUGAGAUGUUGGGUUAAGUCCCGCAACGAGCGCAACCCUCACUUUUAGUUGCCAUCAUUUAGUUGGGCACUCUGAAAGAACUGCCAGUGAUAAGCUGGAGGAAGGUGGGGAUGACGUCAAGUCCUCAUGGCCCUUACGUGUUGGGCUACACACGUGCUACAAUGGUAUAUACAACAGGAAGCAAGACGGCGACGUUAAGCAAAUCCUCAAAAAUGUGUCUCAGUUCGGAUUGCACUCUGCAACUCGAGUGCAUGAAGCUGGAAUUGCUAGUAAUCGC
This 431-nucleotide ribosomal RNA is filed under the name uncultured bacterium. RNAcentral's name for it is "bacterial SSU rRNA". It matches the Rfam family "Bacterial small subunit ribosomal RNA", at positions 917 to 1345 of the family's 1533-position model. The record is from RNAcentral.